GUGCUCGUGUUGGCAGCACAUAUACUAAAAUUGGAACGAUACAGAGAAGAUUAGCGUGGCCCCUGCACAAGGAGGACACACAAAUUCCUGACGCUUUCCAGAUUUAA
This is a small nuclear RNA of Ailuropoda melanoleuca (giant panda), 107 nucleotides long. The record is from Ensembl. NCBI's taxonomy places the organism in Eukaryota, Metazoa, Chordata, Mammalia, Carnivora, Ursidae.